UCAGGCCGGGGGACUGUGAGCGAUGUACUCCACUUCCAGGCUUGGGCUAAUUACCUCCUAUGUGCGGUCCUAGCUCCUUGUUCUUCUUCCACAGCGGAUGUGCAUGAGCACAGGACUUGGAUGCUACUUACUGAAGGUAGUAAAGCCAGAAGAUGACAGAUACCUGGGUCUCUCAGUCUCUCUACACGGCUCACUCAUUUUGGACUUUUCAUGAGCAAAAAGUAAACUUUUAUCAUACACUUUUUCUGCAGUGUCAACAUCAUCUUCAUCAUUACUAUUACUACAAUCACCUUGAUUCAGAACCCAUCAGUCAAUGAAUGAACAACUGGAGCCUCACUAUUGGUGUGAAUAAUUUCUUUGAUAUCCACUUCUUCCAGCUUGCUGAUAGACUCUGAAGUAUCCUCAGCUCUUGGCCCAGUGAGUCUUCUGUGCAUGCUGCUGGGGGAAAUCAGCCAGAACUGCUCUGCUGGACAAGAUUCUCAGAAUAGAGGCUGCUAACAAGCCCAGAUGGCAGUUGCAGCCAUCUUGUGACUAGAAGAAGAGGAAGCUCCAUACUCAGGGGCUCCAGAACACUAGAGUCACAGUCCUGAGACACAUACCUGGAGGCUGCCCUGCGUGUGG
Molecule: long non-coding RNA, 621 nt
Filed under: Homo sapiens (human)
Lineage: Eukaryota; Metazoa; Chordata; Mammalia; Primates; Hominidae
Description: HSALNT0364478
Source: RNAcentral